AUGGGGUGCGCCUGGUUUCUUC
This 22-nucleotide non-coding RNA is filed under the name Arabidopsis thaliana (thale cress). The record is from RNAcentral. Lineage: Eukaryota; Viridiplantae; Streptophyta; Magnoliopsida; Brassicales; Brassicaceae.